This is a non-coding RNA of Triticum aestivum (bread wheat), 125 nucleotides long. The record is from Rfam. NCBI's taxonomy places the organism in Eukaryota, Viridiplantae, Streptophyta, Magnoliopsida, Poales, Poaceae.
CUCAUAUCUCCCUCCGUCCAGAAAUACUUAUCGGAGAACUGGAUGAAUCUAGACGUAUUUUAGAUAUAGAUGCAUCCAAUUUUAUCCAUCUCUCCGACAAGUAUUUCAGACAGAGAGAGUAUUUC